CCCACAAUGCCGAAGGGGGCGGGGACGAGGAAAGGCGGGAUUGAGGAGAAGGGGCGGAGUCGAAGCCUGCGGUAGCGAGAGCGUGCGUCAUGACGUCAUGAAAAGACUCCUUAUAUACUGGCACCUGGCCGCCAUCUCGGUCUUUCGCGACUGGGAGUCGACGUUGGCUGUCUUUGGCCGCUGCUAGACAAGAAUGUUGGGUGGCUUCUGAUGGCAUCUGAUGGACAGUUCUGUGACAGCUGGAUGAGAACAGCUUCCUGGGUCGUAAAGCACAAGCUUCUCACAGCCAUGGACAAACAUGCACUAAAUAGAAUUCGCUGGAGAGUGAAGUGGUGGACUUGAGUCUUGGCAUGUGUGUACCAACUUUUUUUCUCUAUGGGGCUCGUGUGGAUGGCUCACUUGGUGCAGAUUAUAUACAUCUUUAAUAUAAAGAUGUGAAGAGAACCAGGUUGGGGUUGGCUGUAAGACAUGGAACCACUGAAGAUUAACCAAAAGGCAGACCUUCUGUUUCCCUGGAGAUUGCAAGGGUCUUUAAGAUGGCAGUAAUCAUGGAGUUUGUUGAAAGAGAGCUGUGUGGAUGGAUGCUCAUGGGAUAGAAGAUUAAAUGGACUUGAUUUUUUUUUAAUAAAACUUUUUACAAACAUCUUAGUGUAAUUACUUUUUAAUAUAGUGGGUUGAAAGGAAAUUUAUGUAUACGAGAACUGGGGUACAGGCCAGAAGUGUGGGGGGUUGAAAGGAUUCACCAGAGACAGAAUGGGGAACAGAACAGGCAGAUUGACUGAAGUACACUGCUGAGGGGAGCAGUGGGCAAGGCAGGAGACAUCUGCUAUGCCAUGUGGGUAAGCUCCUUGGCAGUAACUGCAGACAGCUUCAUAGGCUGCGUCUUAACCCCUUGCGCCACCAGGGAGGCCCAAAACAUUUCUUAUAUAUUUUUUGCAUUUUUUUCAUUUUUGCACAAUGUAUAUCUUUGUUAUAGUCCCCUUGCAAUUCCCACCUCCCUUGUUUUGAUCCCACUCCCUUCUUUCUCCCACCCCCUUGUGUCUUGUUUAUAUAGUUGUUGAUUUUGAUUUUUUUCUUUAUUAGUCUGGUCCCUAUUUAGGUUUUCUAAAUUCCUGCUAUGAGUGAGAACCAUUGGUAUUUUUCUUUCUGGCUUAUUUCACUGAGCAUGAUCCCUUCCAACUCUCCAUGUUGCUGCAAAUUGCAUGAGCCAAAACAUGUAUUUUUAAAAAGGAAAGUGCUUAUGAUAAAAUGUGGUCAAUAGCUAAGGCUAUUACAAUGUCCUUGUUUCAGAAAUGUCUUAAGAGCAGUAAUGGAAUGGUUAAUAACUAAGUAGCCAGUGGAUUGGAUUUUACAAAGAUUAAACCAUCAGUCACUUGUCACUUAGUUUUCCUGACAUUUUAAGAGUUUUUUGUUUUUUUUUUUAAUAUAGAGGCAUGUU
Molecule: long non-coding RNA, 1438 nt
Organism: Talpa occidentalis (Iberian mole)
Lineage: Eukaryota; Metazoa; Chordata; Mammalia; Eulipotyphla; Talpidae
Exons: 12
Source: RefSeq, a predicted model, not a curated record